RNAcentral lists this transfer RNA (57 nucleotides) under Calisoga longitarsis. RNAcentral's name for it is "tRNA-Pro". The record is from RNAcentral. Lineage: Eukaryota; Metazoa; Arthropoda; Arachnida; Araneae; Nemesiidae.
CAUUAAAUAGUUUUCAAAACAUUUACUUUGGAUGUAAAAAUAAUCACAUACUAAUCA